AUGGCGUACGCGGUCCCUCCCGGCGACGACGACGAUCUGAUGAACGUCCUCAGGCUCCCGCUCAGGCAACUCCCUGCCUGGGUGAACAAGGACGACCUCUACCGCGACGUUCCCCACGUCGUCGCCGGCGACUCCUUCCAGGCCACGGACGGCGCUGGAAGGCCGGCGUACUACGUCCUCACGCCGCUCCGCGCCAUGGGAAGCCGGACGAGGCGCACGGUCGGCGGCGGGUUGUGGAAGGUGGAGAAGACCAUCACCCUCCUACCUACCGCCGACGAGGCCAAGUCUUCCACUUCCAAGCCGGCGCCACAAGGAAGCUGCACCAAGCUCUCGUUCAUCUCCCGGCCACCCGGCGGGCCGGAGGGGAGGAACGGCUGGCUAAUGAAGCAGUAUCUGCUCCCCCACUCGCCAGGUGCCCCCGCAGGCCCCGCCCUCUGCAAAUUGUAUUUCAAGAAGUCGGCGGUGGCGGCUACGGCGGCGUCGACUACGGCGGCGGCGGCGGCGGGGAAGGCGACCGCGGCUGCUCGUCCCAGCCGCCUGCCCGCAUCCGCCUCUUCCCCGAAGGGCUUCUUGAAGAAGCCGGCGGCGGAGGCGCCAUCUACGGCGGUGCCGCCGGCGACGAAGGCGGCAACAUCCCAGGACGCGGGCGCUCGUCCCCUGCGCCUGCGCGUGCCGACCUCCACCACUUACGCCAGCCGGCUGCGCCUGCCGGCCUCCAUCCCUUACUCCAAGAUCUUGAAGAAGCCGCCCGCCGAGGCGCCAUCUACGGCGGCGAAGGCUCCAUCUCGCGCCAGCAGCUUCCGCCGGCCUGCCUCCACCCCCUGCCCGAUGAAGAAGCCCGCGGCGGAGGCGCCACCUGCAGCGGAGCAGGCGCCGGCAAAGGCGGCCGAGGCGCCAUCUACGGCGGCGAAGGCUCCAUCUCACGCCAGCAGCUNNNNNNNNNNNNNNNNNGCCAGCCAGGACUCCACGCCUCCACUGCGCCGCCAGCUCUCCCCCGGCACCACACCCGGCAGGAGGUGGGUGCUGGUGGAAACCGAGGCGACCAGCCCCCCUCCCCAGCCAAACCAUGAUCGCAUCCUCAAGCGAAUCUACAAGCUCGCAGAGCUGGAGGUAGUCGAUGUCGAGGAAGGCGAACUUUUGGAGCAGGGGCACUAUCUUAGAAAAAAAGGAAAAUUCUCUUGCGACAAGUCCUCGUUUAUGCUCCUUAAGGACGACUAUUGUAGCUUCAGGAGUAGGGAGCUUUCCUGA
This 1248-nucleotide ribosomal RNA is filed under the name Triticum aestivum (bread wheat). Its description in RNAcentral is "partial small subunit ribosomal RNA". Lineage: Eukaryota; Viridiplantae; Streptophyta; Magnoliopsida; Poales; Poaceae. The record is from RNAcentral.